UCAGGCCUUCGACUUUGCUCAUGUUAGGACGAGGUUCUCCUCCUAUUCCUAACAUGGCUGUGGGGGCACAUAAGGGCCGUUGCAAGAGCCUCUCCCCCCAUCCGAUCUCUAAAUAAUCGAACCUUAGACUUUGUUCAUGUUAGAACGAGAUUCUCCUCAUGUUCCUAACAUGGCUGUGGGGGCGCAUAAGGGCCAUUGCAAGGGCCUCUCCCCCCAUCCAGUCUCUAAAUAACUGUGCCUUCGACUUUGCUCAUGUUAGGAUGAGGUUCUCCUCCUGUUCCUAACAUGACUGUGGGGGCACAUAAGGGCCGUUGCAAGGGCCUCUCCCCCCAUCCGAUCUCUAAAUAACCGGGCCUUCGACUUUGCUCAUGUUAGGACGAGGUUCUCUUCCUUUUCCUAAUAUGGC
RNAcentral lists this long non-coding RNA (406 nucleotides) under Elaeis guineensis (African oil palm). RNAcentral describes it as "long non-coding RNA (EGUI_LNC047907)". The record is from RNAcentral. Lineage: Eukaryota; Viridiplantae; Streptophyta; Magnoliopsida; Arecales; Arecaceae.